GACGAACGCUGGCGGCGCGCCUAAAACAUGCAAGUCGAACGACAAGCCCGGGCUUGCCCGGGUGGACAGUGGCGAACGGGUGAGUAACACGUGAGGAACCUGCCCCGAAGACCCGGGACAACGACCGGGAAACCGGUGCUAAUACCGGAUACCUUCACCGGAUCGCAUGGUCUGGUGAAGAAAUGGAUUCCGCUUCGGGAUGGCCUCGCGGCCUAUCAGCUAGUUGGUGAGGUAACGGCUCACCAAGGCGACGACGGGUAGCUGGUCUGAGAGGAUGUCCAGCCACACUGGGACUGAGACACGGCCCAGACUCCUACGGGAGGCAGCAGUUAGGAAUCUUGCGCAAUGGACGAAAGUCUGACGCAGCGACGCCGCGUGCGGGAUGAACGGCC
This 392-nucleotide ribosomal RNA is filed under the name uncultured bacterium. RNAcentral's name for it is "bacterial SSU rRNA". It matches the Rfam family "Bacterial small subunit ribosomal RNA", at positions 28 to 417 of the family's 1533-position model. The record is from RNAcentral.